CGCCUGUUUAUCAAAAACAUGGCUCUUUGAUUUUUACAUAUAAAGAGUCGGACCUGCCCAGUGAUAAAAACAUAUUUAACGGCCGCAGUACCCCUGACUGUGCAAAGGUAGCAUAAUCAUUUGCCCUAUAAUUGAGGGCUAGUAUGAAUGGUCUGACAAGAGCAAAGCUGUCUCUAGAAAGUUUUUUAGAAAUUAAUUUUUAGGUGAAGAAGCCUAUAUCUAACUAAAAGACGAGAAGACCCUAUCGAGCUUUAAAAAUUACCUAGGCUAACUAAUACUUUUUUUGGUUGGGGCGACCAAGGAACAAACAAAGCUUCCUGAUACUAAAAAAAUUCUAUAUAUUGAUCCAAUAAAAUUGAUUAAAAAAAUAAGCUACCGUAGGGAUAACAGCGUAAUCCUCUUUUAGAGUUCAUAUUGAGAAGAGACUUUGCGACCUCGAUGUUGGACUAAAAUAUCCUAAAGAUGCAGAAGUCUUUAAGGGUUGGUCUGUUCGACCAUUAAAAUUUUACGUGAUCUGAGUUCAGACCGG
Molecule: ribosomal RNA, 529 nt
Filed under: Onoba semicostata
Lineage: Eukaryota; Metazoa; Mollusca; Gastropoda; Littorinimorpha; Rissoidae
Description: partial 16S ribosomal RNA
Rfam family: Bacterial large subunit ribosomal RNA
Source: RNAcentral